RNAcentral lists this ribosomal RNA (490 nucleotides) under uncultured bacterium. RNAcentral describes it as "partial 16S ribosomal RNA". It matches the Rfam family "Bacterial small subunit ribosomal RNA", at positions 30 to 507 of the family's 1533-position model. The record is from RNAcentral.
AUUGAACGCUGGCGGCAGGCCUAACACAUGCAAGUCGAACGGUAACAGGAAGCAGCUUGCUGCUUUGCUGACGAGUGGCGGACGGGUGAGUAAUGUCUGGGAAACUGCCCGAUGGAGGGGGAUAACUACUGGAAACGGUAGCUAAUACCGCAUAACGUCGCAAGACCAAAGAGGGGGACCUUAGGGCCUCUUGCCAUCGGAUGUGCCCAGAUGGGAUUAGCUAGUAGGUGGGGUAACGGCUCACCUAGGCGACGAUCCCUAGCUGGUCUGAGAGGAUGACCAGCCACACUGGAACUGAGACUCGGUCCAGACUCCUACGGGAGGCAGCAGUGGGGAAUAUUGCACAAUGGGCGCAAGCCUGAUGCAGCCAUGCCGCGUGUAUGAAGAAGGCCUUCGGGUUGUAAAGUACUUUCAGCGGGGAGGAAGGGAGUAAAGUUAAUACCUUUGCUCAUUGACGUUACCCGCAGAAGAAGCACCGGCUAACUCCGUG